RNAcentral lists this ribosomal RNA (751 nucleotides) under Listeria monocytogenes. RNAcentral describes it as "partial 23S ribosomal RNA". It matches the Rfam family "Bacterial large subunit ribosomal RNA", at positions 208 to 954 of the family's 2925-position model. Lineage: Bacteria; Bacillati; Bacillota; Bacilli; Caryophanales; Listeriaceae. The record is from RNAcentral.
ACCUGGAGGAAGAGAAAGAAAAAUCGAUUUCCUGAGUAGCGGCGAGCGAAACGGAAAGAGCCCAAACCAAGAAGCUUGCUUCUUGGGGUUGUAGGACACUCUAUACGGAGUUACAAAAGAAAGUUAUAAAUGAAGCGGUCUGGAAAGGCCCGCCAAAGACGGUAACAGCCCGGUAGUUGAAAUAGCUUUCCCUCCAGAGUGGAUCCUGAGUACGGCGGAACACGUGAAAUUCCGUCGGAAUCCGGGAGGACCAUCUCCCAAGGCUAAAUACUCCCUAGUGACCGAUAGUGAACCAGUACCGUGAGGGAAAGGUGAAAAGCACCCCGGAAGGGGAGUGAAACAGUUCCUGAAACCGUGUGCCUACAAGUAGUUAGAGCCCGUUAAUGGGUGAUAGCGUGCCUUUUGUAGAAUGAACCGGCGAGUUACGAUUUGUUGCAAGGUUAAGCGGAAAAAGCGGAGCCGUAGCGAAAGCGAGUCUGAAUAGGGCGCAUAAGUAACAGGUCGUAGACCCGAAACCAGGUGAUCUACCCAUGUCCAGGAUGAAGGUAAGGUAAUACUUACUGGAGGUCCGAACCCACGCACGUUGAAAAGUGCGGGGAUGAGGUGUGGGUAGCGGAGAAAUUCCAAUCGAACUUGGAGAUAGCUGGUUCUCUCCGAAAUAGCUUUAGGGCUAGCCUCGAGGUAAAGAGUCAUGGAGGUAGAGCACUGUUUGGACUAGGGGCCCUUCUCGGGUUACCGAAUUCAGAUAAAC